Long non-coding RNA from Anopheles funestus (African malaria mosquito), 2994 nucleotides. RefSeq lists it as uncharacterized. The record is from RefSeq and is a predicted model, not a curated record. Lineage: Eukaryota; Metazoa; Arthropoda; Insecta; Diptera; Culicidae. The transcript is spliced from 5 exons.
GAUGUUUUUGGUCAAAGUUGGUGGAAACUUGAAGUUUGCAACCAAAGAUGAUGAUUUCGGUCAAAGUUGAUGUUUUUGGUCAAAGUUGGUGGAAACUGGAAGUUUGCAACCAAAGAUGAUGAUUUCGGUCAAAGUAGAUGUUUUUUGUCAAAGUUGGUGGGAAACUGGAAGUUUGCAACCAAAGAUGAUGAUUUCGGUCAAAGUAGAUGUUUUUGGUCAAAGUUGGUGGAAACUGGAAGUUUGCAACCAAAGAUGAUGAUUUCGGUCAAAGUUGAUGUUUUUGGUCAAAGUUGGUGGAAACUGGAAGUUUGCGAUUAAAGUUGAUGUUUGUGGUCAAAGUUGGUGGAAACUGGAAGUUUGCAACCAAAGAUGAUGAUUUCGGUCAAAGUAGAUGUUUUUUUUUCAAAGUUGGUGGAAACUUGAAGUUUGCAACCAAAGAUGAUGAUUUCGGUCAAAGUAGAUGUUUUUGGUCAAAGUUGGUGGAAACUGGAAGUUUGCAACCAAAGAUGAUGAUUUCGGUCAAAGUAGAUGUUUUUGGUCAAAGUUGGUGGAAACUCGAGGUUUGCGACCAAAAAUGAUGAUUUCGGUCAAAGUAGAUGUUUUUGGUCAAAGUUGGUGGAAACUCGAGGUUUGCAACCAAAGAUGAUGAUUUCGGUCAAAGUAGAUGUUUUUGGUCAAAGUUGGUGGAAACUGGAAGUUUGCGACCAAAGAUGAUGUUUUCGGUCAAAGUAGAUGUUUUUGGUCAAAGUUGGUGGAAAACUGGAAGUUUGCAACCAAAGAUGAUGUUUUCGGUCAAAGUUGAUGUUUUUUUGUCAAAGUUGGUGGAAACUGGAAGUUUGCAACCAAAGAUGAUGAUUUCGGUCAAAGUAGAUGUUUUUGGUCAAAGUUGGUGGAAACUGGAAGUUUGCAACCAAAGAUGAUGAUUUCGGUCAAAGUAGAUGUUUUUGGUCAAAGUUGGUGGAAACUGGAAGUUUGCAACCAAAGAUGAUGAUUUCGGUCAAAGUUGAUGUUUUUGGUCAAUGUUGGUGGAAACUGGAAGUUUGCGACCAAAGUUGAUGAUUUCGGUCAAAGUUGAUGUUUUUGGUCAAAGUUGGUGGAAACUGGAAGUUUGCAACCAAAGAUGAUGAUUUCGGUCAAAGUUGAUGUUUUUGGUCAAAGUUGGUGGAAACUCGAGGUUUGCAACCAAAGAUGAUGAUUUCGGUCAAAGUUGAUGUUUUUGGUCAAAGUUGGUGGAAACUGGAAGUUUGCAACCAAAGAUGAUGAUUUCGGUCAAAGUUGAUGUUUUUGGUCAAAGUUGGUGGAAACUGGAAGUUUGCAACCAAAGAUGAUGAUUUCGGUCAAAGUAGAUGUUUUUGGUCAAAGUUGGUGGAAACUGGAAGUUUGCAACCAAAGAUGAUGAUUUCGGUCAAAGUAGAUGUUUUUGGUCAAAGUUGGUGGAAACUGGAAGGUUGCAACCUAAGAUGAUGAUUUCGGUCAAAGUUGAUGUUUUUGGUCAAAGUUGGUGGAAACUCGAGGUUUGCGACCAAAGUUGAUGAUUUCGGUCAAAGUUGAUGUUUUUGGUCAAAGUUGGUGGAAACUGGAAGUUUGCAACCAAAGAUGAUGAUUUCGGUCAAAGUUGAUGUUUUUGGUCAAAGUUGGUGGAAACUCGAGGUUUGCGACCAAAGUUGAUGUUUUCGGUCAAAGUUGAUGUUUUUGGUCAAAGUUGGUGGAAACUCGAGGUUUGCGACCAAAUUUGAUGUUUUCGGUCAAAGUAGAUGUUUUUGGUCAAAGUUGGUGGAAACUGGAAGUUUGCAACCAAAGAUGAUGAUUUCGGUCAAAGUAGAUGUUUUUGGUCAAAGUUGGUGGAAACUGGAAGUUUGCAACCAAAGAUGAUGAUUUCGGUCAAAGUUGAUGUUUUUGGUCAAAAUUGGUGGAAAGUGGAAGUUUGCAACCAAAGAUGAUGAUUUCGGUCAAAGUUGAUGUUUUUGGUCAAAGUUGGUGGAAACUCGAGGUUUGCGACCAAAGUUGAUGUUUUCGGUCAAAGUUGAUGUUUUUGGUCAAAGUUGGUGGAAACUGGAAGCUUGCGACCAAAGUUGAUGAUUUCGGUCAAAGUAGAUGUUUUUGCUCAAAGUUGGUGGAAACUGGAAGUUUGCAACCAAAGACGAUGUUUUCGGUCAAAGUAGAUGUUUUUGGUCAAAGUUGGUGGAAACUGGAAGUUUGCAACCACAGAUGAUGAUUUCGGUCAAAGUAGAUGUUUUUGGUCAAAGUUGGUGGAAACUGGAAGUUUGCAACCAAAGAUGAUGAUUUCGGUCAAAGUUGAUGUUUUUGGUCAAAGUUGGUGGAAACUGGAAGUUUGCGACCAAAGAUGAUGUUUUCAGUCAAAGUAGAUGCUUCUGGUCAAAGUUGGUGGAAACUGGAAGUUUGCAACCAAAGAUGAUGAUUUCGGUCAAAGUAGAUGUUUUUGGUCAAAGUUGGUGGAAACUGGAAGUUUGCGACCAAAGUUGAUGUUUUCGGUCAAAGUAGAUGUUUUUGGUCAAAGUUGGUGGAAACUGGAAGUUUGCAACCAAAGAUGAUGAUUUCGGUCAAAGUAGAUGUUUUUGGUCAAAGUUGGUGGAAACUGGAAGUUUGCGACCAAAGAUGAUGUUUUCGGUCAAAGUAGAUGUUUUUGGUCAAAGUUGGUGGAAACUGGAAGUUUGCAACCAAAGAUGAUGAUUUCGGUCAAAGUAGAUGUUUUUGGUCAAAGUUGGUGGAAACUGGAAGUUUGCAACCAAAAAUGAUGAUUUCGGUCAAAGUAGAUGUUUUUGGUCAAAGUUGGUGGAAACUGGAAGUUUGCAACCAAAGAUGUUGAUUUCGGUCAAAGUAGAUGUUUUUGGUCAAAGUUGGUGGAAACUGGAAGUUUGCAACCAAAGAUGAUGAUUUCGGUCAAAGUUGAUGUUUUUGGUCAAAGUUGGUGGAAACUGGAAGUUUGCGACCAAAGAUGAUGUUUUCGGUGAAAGUUGAUGUUUUUUGUCAAAU